RNAcentral lists this transfer RNA (85 nucleotides) under Opitutales bacterium. Its description in RNAcentral is "tRNA-Leu". It matches the Rfam family "tRNA". From Rfam's summary of the family: Transfer RNA (tRNA) molecules are approximately 80 nucleotides in length. Their secondary structure includes four short double-helical elements and three loops (D, anti-codon, and T loops). Further hydrogen bonds mediate the characteristic L-shaped molecular structure. tRNAs have two regions of fundamental functional importance: the anti-codon, which is responsible for specific mRNA codon recognition, and the 3' end, to which the tRNAs corresponding amino acid is attached (by aminoacyl-tRNA synthetases). tRNAs cope with the degeneracy of the genetic code in two manners: having more than one tRNA (with a specific anti-codon) for a particular amino acid; and 'wobble' base-pairing, i.e. permitting non-standard base-pairing at the 3rd anti-codon position. The record is from RNAcentral. Lineage: Bacteria; Pseudomonadati; Verrucomicrobiota; Opitutia; Opitutales.
GCUCAGGUGGUGAAAUUGGCAGACACGCUGUCUUCAGGUGGCAGUAUCGCAAGAUGUAGGGGUUCGACUCCCCUCCUGAGUACCA